AGCAGCCGCGGUAAUUCCAGCCCCAAUAGCGUAUAUUAAAGUUGUUGCAGUUAAAAAGCUCGUAGUUGAAUUUCGGGAUUAAUAUGUUGGUCGUGCCUUGGUACGUACUGGCAUUAUUGAUUCCUACCUUCUGAAGAACCUCGAUGUCAUUAAUUUGGUGUCUUGGGAAAUCAGGACCGUUACUUUGAAAAAUUAGAGUGUUUAAAGCAGGCUCGCGCUUGAAUACAUUAGCAUGGAAUAAUGAAAUAGGACGUUUGAUUCUAUUUUGUUGGUUUCUAGGAUCGACGUAAUGAUUAAUAGGGAUAGUUGGGGGCAUUAGUAUUCAAUUGUCAGAGGUGAAAUUCUUGGAUUUAUUGAAGACUGACUACUGCGAAAGCAUUUGCCAAGGAUGUUUUCAUUAAUCAAGAACGAAAGUUAGGGGAUCGAAGACGAUCAGAUACCGUCGUAGUCUUAACCAUAAACUAUGCCGACUAGGGAUCGGAUGAUGUUAAUUUUUAAUGUACUCAUUCGGCGCCUUAAC
Molecule: ribosomal RNA, 520 nt
Filed under: uncultured Glomus
Lineage: Eukaryota; Fungi; Glomeromycota; Glomeromycetes; Glomerales; Glomeraceae
Description: SSU rRNA
Rfam family: Eukaryotic small subunit ribosomal RNA
Source: RNAcentral